RNAcentral lists this ribosomal RNA (502 nucleotides) under uncultured bacterium. Its description in RNAcentral is "SSU rRNA". It matches the Rfam family "Bacterial small subunit ribosomal RNA", at positions 26 to 516 of the family's 1533-position model. The record is from RNAcentral.
AGAACGAACGCUGGCGGCGGGGCUUAGGCAUGCAAGUCGAGCGAGAAAGGGGUAACCCGAGUACAGCGGCGUAAGGGUGAGUAAUAGGUAGUCAACGUACCUUCAAGACGCGAAUAAUUCGCCGAAAGGUGAUGUAAUGCGCGAUGAGACCACGGUCCCUCUGGGGACAGGGGUCAAAGGUCGGGGAUCCUUCGGGACCUGGCGCUUGGGGAGCGGACGACCUCCGAUUAGCUGGAUGGCGGGGUAACGGCCCACAUGGCGAUGAUCGGUAGCCGGCCUGAGAGGGUGUUCGGCCACACUGGGACUGAGACACUGCCCAGACUCCUACGGGAGGCUGCAGUCGCGAAUCAUUCACAAUGGGCGCAAGCCUGAUGAUGCCACGCCGCGUGCGGGAUGAAGGCCCUCUGGGUUGUAAACCGCUGUCAAUGAAGGGGAAACUAUGGAGAUAACAUUUCCAUGCUUGACUGCUUCGUAAAGGAAGCCCCGGACAAAACAUGUAGCC